UAGACUUGCAUGGUAACGAACGAGGGUGAAAGCCUGAGGUUCGCAAGACGUUACCACUGGUGCUGCAUGGCUGUCGUCAGCUCGUGUCGUGAGAUGUUAGGUUAAGUCCUGUAACGAGCGCAACCCCCGGGAAGUAGUUACACGUUGUCUACUUCAACUGCCUGCGCAAGUGGGAGGAAGGUGGGGAUGACGUCAAGUCAGCAUGGCCUGUAUGUCUAGGG
This 221-nucleotide ribosomal RNA is filed under the name uncultured bacterium. Its description in RNAcentral is "partial 16S ribosomal RNA". It matches the Rfam family "Bacterial small subunit ribosomal RNA", at positions 976 to 1213 of the family's 1533-position model. The record is from RNAcentral.